Molecule: ribosomal RNA, 480 nt
Filed under: uncultured bacterium
Lineage: Bacteria
Description: partial 16S ribosomal RNA
Rfam family: Bacterial small subunit ribosomal RNA
Source: RNAcentral
GACGAACGCUGGCGGCGUGCUUAACACAUGCAAGUCGAGCGGAAAGGCCACUUCGGUGGUACUCGGGCGGCGAACGGGUGAGUAACACGUGAGUAAUCUGCCCUUGGCUUUGGGAUAGCCACCGGAAACGGUGAUUAAUACCGGAUAUGACCACUCUAGGCAUCUAGUGGUGGUGGAAAGUUUUUCGGCCAGGGAUGUGCUCGCGGCCUAUCAGAUAGAUGGUGAGGUAAUGGCUCACCAUGGCUUCGACGGGUAGCCGGCCUGAGAGGGUGACCGGUCAGACUGGGACGGGACCACGGCCCAGACUCCUACGGGAGGCAGCAGUGGGGAAUAUUGGACAAUGGGCGGAAGCCUGAUCCAGCAACGCCGCGUGAGGGAUGACGGCCUUCGGGUUGUAAACCUCUUUCAGCAGGGACGAAGCGCGAGUGACGGUACCUGCAGAAGAAGCACCGGCCAACUACGUGCCAGCCGCCGCAGUAA